GUCCAGACUCCUACGGGAGGCAGCAGUGGGGAAUAUUGCACAAUGGGGGAAACCCUGAUGCAGCGACGCCGCGUGAGUGAAGAAGUAUUUCGGUAUGUAAAGCUCUAUCAGCAGGGAAGAAAAUGACGGUACCUGACUAAGAAGCCCCGGCUAACUACGUGCCAGCAGCCGCGGUAAUACGUAGGGGGCAAGCGUUAUCCGGAUUUACUGGGUGUAAAGGGAGCGUAGACGGCAUGGCAAGUCAGAUGUGAAAGCCCGGGGCUCAACCCCGGGACUGCAUUUGAAACUGUCAGGCUGGAGUGCAGGAGAGGUAAGUGGAAUUCCUAGUGUAGCGGUGAAAUGCGUAGAUAUUAGGAGGAACACCAGUGGCGAAGGCGGCUUACUGGACUGUAACUGACGUUGAGGCCCGAAAGCGUGGGGAGCAAACAGGAUUAGAUACCCUGGUA
Molecule: ribosomal RNA, 446 nt
Filed under: uncultured bacterium
Lineage: Bacteria
Description: bacterial SSU rRNA
Rfam family: Bacterial small subunit ribosomal RNA
Source: RNAcentral